Molecule: long non-coding RNA, 7343 nt
Filed under: Lactuca sativa (garden lettuce)
Lineage: Eukaryota; Viridiplantae; Streptophyta; Magnoliopsida; Asterales; Asteraceae
Description: long non-coding RNA (LSAT_LNC005154)
Source: RNAcentral
GUAAUUAGUCUUAAUUUUCCAAAACUUGAAAGUUCUCAUUCAUCAUGCUAUACAACUUGCAUGAUUCCAAGUUCCGGUCCAAUUGAAACUUGGGUGAUGAGAAUCUUUCCUUAUUUGGUAAAUCUAGACAUUACCACAAAUGAAAGAAUCAAUUUCAUAUUUCCACUCUUGCUCUUAAUGGAAUCAUAUAAGCAACAAUUUUUCCUCAAAAGCCAUUGUAAGGAUAUUUUAAAAUAAAUAAAAUCAAAAAAUUUUUCUUUUAUUUUAAAACUUUGCGGAAAAACUUAUCCUUACAAUCCAUAUGAAAACUUGUUGUUAUCUAUUCCUAAGCAAUAUCUCAUAACUCCUAAGAAGUUGCUCAAGAAUCCGAUCUUCAAACUAUGCGAUAGAAAUCCAUCUACGCCAUCAGAUUCAGCAUAUUCUUUCUUUAAGUUUCUUCACUUUUCUUUGAUUCUUAAAACAUCACCAUGUGACCCAGUCACAUCAUGUAUCAGGAAUCUCAGAAUAGAAACUUAACAGAGUUAGAUAGUGGACUUUACCUGAAGUAGAGUCAAACUUAUUGACUUUAACAUCCUUAGGUAAAUUUGGCAGCUUCGCAACCAAUGCCCCUUCCUUUGGCAAUAUAAACAUAUGGACCCUUUGAUAAUGGUACACGGGACUAUCACAGACUUAGCUUUUCUCUUUACCAUUUGGUCAACCGAGUUGACUAUGGCCGAUCCCUUUCCAUUGGGAAGAGAAUGCUUUACUGGAUAUCCAAUGUCAUCAUUGUCAAUGUCCAUAAAGUUUUAGGAAGUUGAUCUUAGCAAAUAGAUAAGAUCAUUAAGGGUCUUGUCAUAGUCUGUUUCAUAGGUGUCCCAAAGGAACUCACUAUGUGACUUAGAAAGUGAUUGAACCACCAACUUUCUCAAGACUUUGACACCCAACUCUCCCGGCUUGUCAAUAUGUGACUACAUCUCCAAGAUGUGAUCACACCUAGACCUUGCCUUGCCAAUAGGGCUUGAGUGACCUUAAACUUUUCAAGAACUUGUGGGUUAGGGAGAAUAAUUGGAGGAGGUGAAAGAAGUAUGAUUUCCAAAGGACAUCAUCUUCAUUUAGGAAACCUUGUUUCACUAGAUUUGGGAAGAUCAUAGGUGUCUAUUACAGACAUCUUUUGGGAGAUAUUCAAGAUAGUUGAUUUAAAGUCCUUAAUAUGACACCCAAUAUGAAAUAUUAAGGCUAGGACCCAACAAACUAUUUUAUAACUUAGAAGAGGUAUGCCGUAAUCCAAGCUAUAAAAUAUUUGAAGGUAGGUGAAUGACGAUUCACCAAUUUCCACCAAGAUAAACGAAAUGUAUUAUUAGGUUUUAAUUGGUUUUGAAACUCCUAGAUCUUUGAGAUUCAUUGAACUGUUCAAAGGCAUGUUUCAAUCUCGAGUGUGCCCUUCAGGUUUUGUGACUGGGAUGCCGAGGAUCACAAAACAAGGUGUGAAGUAACCAUGCAAAUCACUUGGUACCCUUAAUAAAUUACCCCUCAAUCGAUGUGCCGGUUAACCACACACGCUCCAUCGAUACUAUGAUAAAUAUUAAGUCACCCUUUACCUACCUUGUUAAGUCCAAGUUAGUGUGCCGGUUAACCACACACGCUCCACUAACGACUUAGACAAAGUGUAAAGUGUAAUUUCAUGGAUUAGCACCUUAUUCACAUUUUUCCUAAGUAACUAAGAUUGGGUAUUAUUAAGAGUUUAGUUACUUAGUAUUAUCAUUAAUACUUUUAAUGAAGGGAGAAUUCUAGUCCUGUCAAACCCGUUCGGCUAACGACCCUCCACCAGUCAAGCAAGCGGUGGGUGAGAGUGGACACCCAUUAAGUUGCCAUUUUAUAGGCAACAACCUUAUACCCACCUUAUAGACCGGCUUCGUGAAUGAGGCGUACUAGCGGUAAGACUGACUUUACUCUUAUACAUAUAUAUAUUAUUAACUUAUAAUAUUAUAAAGUAUAAGGGUUGAAUUUUAACUUUUAAAAUUCUAAGGGCUAACUUGGAAUUAAAGUAUUCAUAAGUGAAAACUUUACAAAUUCCAAAACUUGAGGGCAAGUUUUGAAACUAUUCAAAACUAAUUAAUUCCAUAACUUAUGUGUUUAAAGUAGUUUUAAUCCAAAAACUCUUCAAGUUCCAUAACUUGAGGACAAGUUAUGGAAGACUUUAAACUAAUAAAAGAAUUAACUUUUCUUUAUUUUAUAACUUAUGGAAUUAAUUAAGGUUACACUUUUUUUUUUUUUAUUUUAUUUUAUUAAAUGAAGAGACUCUUGGUCCUCCAUAACUUGAGGACAAGUUAUGGAGUCAUAAAACCAUUUAAUUAGAACUAGACUCUUCAUUUUUGUAACCUUUGCCAAUUUUUAUGAGUUUUAUGAUUCUUAAAUGUGACUUUUCAUAUAACUUGAGGACAAGUUACAAAAACACAUUUUAGAAUCAAUUCUUAGAUUAAUUUGGAUUAAAACCAACUAUCACAUAAUUUUAUUCAUUAAUCUAAAUUCACUCAUAAAACAAGGUAACACAAAAAACUUUUGGUGAUCCAUAACUUAUUCUUAAGUUAUGGAAUCCUUUAAAACAUUAACACCAAAUUUUGUAACUCCAAAAAAACUUUGAAUCAAUUUUUUUUUUAAAACCUUUUCAUAUCCAUAACUUAUGGAGGUUUCAAAAAAUAAAACUCUUUAGAUCAAACUUUUAAAACUAAUAAAAUAAUCAUAUUAUUUUAUCUUUUAUUAAAUUUGACCUAAUUCAACUCAUAAAGCAAAUUAUUCAAAUUUUACAAAUAAUUAGUUUUUCACAAGAACAAGUAAUUAUCUUAAAAUUUGACAAACUUCAUGUUUUUUUUUUUUUUUUUUUUCAACUUUGAAAAUAAAAUAUUUGCAUCAAUAUAACAGAAAACAACCCGUGGCUCUGAUACCACUGUUGGGUUUUGAGCAUUCUAACACUUCCUAAGUGUACAUGCAACCCUAAAUACCUUGGAUCUAUGUUUUCUCUAUUAUACAUGCAAAUAAGAACUUCCAAGGUAUUAUCCUAAUCUAGCAUACAAAACAAUAACUAUAGCAAGAUAGAAUACAUACCUCUUUGGUGUAGAAAGUCUUCAUGAAGCUUGAGUGCCUAGUGCCCCAAGUGUGACACCUCAAAUGGAAUCACAAUCAUCAAAACACUUAGAAUGACUUGAGAGAAUUCUACACUCAUCAAAAUCGGCUAGCCCUUUCUUCACUAUCUCUAGUGGCCGAUUUUUCCUCAAUAAUAAGAUGCUUAUAUAGUUACACAAUUAGGGUAAACUCUUAAUUGUCAUGGCUUUCCAUUUCCUUGGAUCCAUGGGUACAAAUACACCAUGGAGCAUCCAUGGACCAUCCUAUGGGUUUUAGCCCAACUUGAUUAUCCAUGGAGCAUUAGCCCACUAUACAAGUAUGGAUGAUUUACACAAUCAACCCAUAUAUUUAAUUAGUCUUCUUUUGAUCACUUAAUUAAUCCUAGAUUAAUUCUUGAUCAAUACUAAUUAAAUAAUCUUAUUAUUCUUAUUAUUAAUAUACUAGAACUUAUAAUAUAUUAAUAACCAUAAGUGUCUUAUUUCUCUCAUUAUAGUCUAUCCAAGUGCAUGAUGGUAUGCAACCCAAAUGGACCAUGCCGGGUCGGGUCAAGUCUUACCAAUUAUAGUUAUGGACUUAGACAUUAAUCCAACAGUCUCCCACUUGGAUAAGUCUAAAACUAUUAUUGCGUAUGACUUCAGGAACCAACUGGCAAUCGUAGCUCUCAAAAGCUUCUGUCGAACUCUGACCUUGUAGAUGAACUCUGACCUUUGUCAAUGACUUGUCCAUUAGAUAAGGGAUCAUAUAUUCCUCCAUUCUAGAUAUCAUAUGGACUGAGACAUGGAUUAUAAUCAUUCUCUCUGUCCAUUUGUUGUUUCCCGAUUUCCGAUUUAUGACGACUGACUAAUUGAACAAAUCAAAUCAGUCCUGGCCCGGCCGAGCACUUCCAUUUGUCAUCAUCAAAUCAUCGAGGGGCCCACAGAUAUCGCUUUUAUCCCGAAGGUAAAAGGAACGGAUAAACUUCGACUCAUAUGGCUUGUUCUACUACUUGUUGAAUCAUACACAAAGGCACGUUUUAUAGCACCGAGUUACCAAAUGCGUUUUCGUGCAAUCAAUGUACUAUCAACUCAUAGUAACAACUCAUAUCUCUAGGUUUGAAGAAUAUAAGAUAUUAUCGUCUCAUGAUCACUCGUGAUAAAAUCCAUGAAGUGAUUCCAAUGAGCGCGGGUUGAAUCCAAUACUCAGAACUUAUGAGCACUCAUGAGUGUUGUAGCCCUUUGUCCAACACCUUAGACCUCUACAAGCCAACCCAUGACAGUCUUAAUUCAUAUCUACUUCCAACAUAUGACCGACUGUGGAUGGUUUGAAUAACUUAGUCAUUCCGGAAGAAUAACCUAGUUUAUUCGGGAAGUCAAAACAUGCAAAGUGAAACACAAUAAUAAUUGAAUCCAAUAUGGUAUCAACCCUUUGAACAUAAAUAAAACACCUUUUAUUUAUCACCAUAUGAUUACACAUUAUUCAUUGUAUACUGUUUCAGCUAUCAACUUUAUUCUUGAAUUUAAAACAAUAGUUGUCCCAUGCUCCAAGCAUGUACACUAUGUUUUCUUAAACACUAGUCAUGCCACACACCAAGUAUGCAUACUAUGUUUGUCUAUGAUCUUUACUUUGUGAACUAGAUCAAUUGAACAUAACUUCAAUGAUUCUCUUUUCACACUCCCAAAUCCUUACUGCAAAUGCAAGAAUUCCAAAUUCAUGCCAUUUACUGAAAUCUGUUAGAUUCUAAACUUAUAUGCAUUGAUCCUCUUGUAAUGAUUAUGCACAAAGUCAGAAAGACUUGACAACAAUCAUUACAGAGUAUUCCAAAGGAGAUCAGCUCCUUGGAAACAUCCUUCUUGCAUUAAGUUUCCUAAUCUUAAACAGAUUGAAAAUUCUAACUUUGAAACAUUUCCAGAUUCCAUUUUGACUAUCACUUCUGAACAAGAGUUGCCUCCUUACAGAUUAUGUCAAUAUGGUCCUUCCAGAAUUAUCACUAUACUUCCAACUGUCCUUGAGCAACCAAUCUUUGGUAAACCUUAGAUUGUCCUCGACAAUUGUUUAAUCCUUUUAGUCAUAUCCAGUUCUAAACCUUUUCCCUUCUUAAUGCCCCAGGCAUUUGGAAAAUUUUAGAACGGAUGAAUAUAGCACAUGUAAUCGAUCCUAUAUCCGAAGCAUAUGGGACACGAUUCAUGAUGUCUUACAUAAAGACUAAACCAGUCUUUUGCUAUAAUAUUUCCAUUUCAAUUUGCCAAGUUCUCAUAAUUCAGAUUAUGAAAAGGGAUGCCGUAAUCAUAAUCGAAUUUUAGAACGCAAAUAAUGGACCCAUAUACAGAAUUUCCUUAUGUUGAGCCAUUCCAACAUGAAAUUCAUAUAUAUCCUUGACUAAAUGAUUAAAACCUCACGAUCUAAGCUUAUAGAUUUGAGAUGAAGUAUAAUUUCCUCUCCCUUAAUUAUAGCAAAACAACUUUUUCCCAAUUGAAACUUUUGUUUUCUAUAAUUAACAUUGCUAACUUGCAACCUUUAUCAUAAUUAUCAUGCUCCCACUAACAUGAUGAUUAUUAGCAUAACACUUAUGCUCCCACUAGCUUUGACAUGUAUCCAAAAAUUAGCUGGACUUGUAGAAAUCAAUACCUAAUUGACUUUCUUACCAAAGUUCAGAUUUCUGAUACUAGAUUGCUUUGAUAAGACUUUAUCAAAAUCAUACACCUUAUCUUAGAUAGCUCACAGGUGUGUCUAAAUAAUUUUAGAACUAUGAAAAGGCAUGCCUUAAUCAUAGUCUCAAUUGUUUAGACCUUUUCCACUUCUCACAAGUCCAUGUUAGUGUGCCGGUUAACCACACAUGCUCCACUAACGACUUUGAGAAUGCGAAUAUCAUAAUUUCUAUCUUGUUAAAAUCUACUUAGUGAAAGUGUUUCCUCACCAUCAUUUUCAUGAAUCGGAGAGAAACCUUAUGACACUUAGAUUUAAUGGUGUAUGUGUUCUUAUCCAUAUGAAAACCAUAGUCACAAGACAAGGAUAAUGACAAACCCAAACUCAUAUGGACUGAACUCAAUCUUAAUUUCUUACCAUCUGGCAACUCAAGGGCCUGGCAUUGCUUCCAAGUUGUUAUGCAACCAAUUGAGAACUCUAAGAGCUUAUAUGCAAAGCCAACUUUAAUUGGAAUGAGCACGGAAUAUGUCAACAUGAUAGGUUAUAAACCUCAAGUCGUGUGCUAGUGAUAAACUUACAGGUUUUUAUUCUUGAUUAUCCUUUCAGGAUGUUUAAGACUCCUACUAUCCUCUUGACACAUAAGGCUCACUUGCCAAAUAUUCACGAGAUAGUUUGGAUUCUUUAUCAAGACAAACACUUUACACAAUUGGCCUUAGUUGGUCUUUGUUUUGUCCAAAACAUCACAACUUACCAAUUUCAAAUGUACAAGAGUAGAAAACUUUUACUCUUACAUUUGACUAGUGUUUUAAACCUUUCUUUAAGAUAUUUCACUCAACUUACAGUCUUGGAGUAUGACCCUAAGACUAGUUUUGGAACGAAGUAUGACUCAUCUUCUUGAUUUGACCACUUCAACAAUUCAUAGAUCCUCUUCUUAGCUAUCAGAAUGCACUUAGGGAAUGAAUUGCGACAAGGUCUCUUAAUCGUUAAGAUGAUCAUAUGACAUGAUACUAAAGUACUCUCCCAUAUUUUCAGAUUUGAGAAACUUUUAUCCUUCUGCCUAAUUUGAUUCUUCUUAUUUGCUCUGCCAUACAUUGGAACCUUUUCCAAUGUCUCAGAAUUACACUUAAGCUUGGAAGUGUAACGAUAUUUACUGAGCUUUAGUAAAUUAUGACGAAUAAUCUUAUCGAUCUUUUGUGGUGGACUUCACCAGUGCACAAGAAUGUGUACUCAAUCCCUUAGUCCUUCAGUUGACUUCACAUAUACAUGUGAACAAGGAACUAGUCUUAAUUUUCCAAAGAUGAAAAAUUCUCAUUCAUCAUGCUGUACAACUUGCAUGAUUCCAAGUUUCGGUCCAAUUGAAACUUGGGUGAUGAGGAUCUUUCUUUAUUUGGUAAAUUUAGACAUUACCACAAAUGAAAGAAUCAAUUUCAUAUUUCCACUCUUGCUAUUAAUGGAAUCAUAUAAGCAACAAUUUUUUCUCAAAUGCCAUUGUAAGGAUAUUUUAAAAUAAAUAAAAUAAAAAAUUUUCUUUUAUUUUAAAACUUUGCGGAAAAACUUAUCCUUACAAUCCAUAUGAAAACUUGUUGUUAUCUAUUCCUAAGCAAUAUCUCAUAACUCCUAAG